AGAGCAGUAGAGUUUGAUCAUGGCUCAGGAUGAACGCUGGCGGCGUGCCUAAUACAUGCAAGUCGAGCGAACAGAAAAAGAGCUUGCUCCUAUGAAGUUAGCGGCGGACGGGUGAGUAACACGUGGGCAACCUACCCAAAAGACUGGGAUAACUCCGGGAAACCGGGGCUAAUACCGAAUAACAUCUUGAACCGCAUGGUGAAAAACUGAAAGACGGCUUCGGCUGUCACUAAAGGAUGGACCCGCGGCGCAUUAGCUAGUUGGUGAGGUAACGGCUCACCAAGGCAACGAUGCGUAGCCGACCUGAGAGGGUGAUCGGCCACACUGGGACUGAGACACGGCCCAGACUCCUACGGGAGGCAGCAGUAGGGAAUCUUCCACAAUGGACGAAAGCCUGACGGAGCAACGCCGCGUGAGUGAAGAAGGCUUUCGGAUCGUAAAACUCUGUUGUAAGGGAAGAACAAGUACUAGUAGAAUAAGCUGGCUGUACCUUGACGGUACCUAACCAGAAAGCCACGGCUAACUACGUGCCAGCAGCCGCGGUAAUACGUAGGUGGCAAGCGUUAUCCGGAAUUAUUGGGCGUAAAGCGCGCGCAGGCGGUCCCUUAAGUCUGAUGUGAAAGCCCACGGCUCAACCGUGGAGGGUCAUUGGAAACUGGGAGACUUGAGUGCAGAAGAGGAAAGUGGAAUUCCAAGUGUAGCGGUGAAAUGCGUAGAGAUUUGGAGGAACACCAGUGGCGAAGGCGACUUUCUGGUCUGUAACUGACGCUGAGGCGCGAAAGCGUGGGGAGCAAACAGGA
RNAcentral lists this ribosomal RNA (800 nucleotides) under Bacillus cereus. RNAcentral's name for it is "bacterial SSU rRNA". It matches the Rfam family "Bacterial small subunit ribosomal RNA", at positions 1 to 777 of the family's 1533-position model. The record is from RNAcentral. Lineage: Bacteria; Bacillati; Bacillota; Bacilli; Caryophanales; Bacillaceae.